RNAcentral lists this ribosomal RNA (460 nucleotides) under uncultured bacterium. Its description in RNAcentral is "partial 16S ribosomal RNA". It matches the Rfam family "Bacterial small subunit ribosomal RNA", at positions 338 to 795 of the family's 1533-position model. The record is from RNAcentral.
CCUACGGGUGGCAGCAGUGAGGAAUAUUGGUCAAUGGGCGCGAGCCUGAACCAGCCAAGUAGCGUGAAGGAUGACUGCCCUAUGGGUUGUAAACUUCUUUUAUAAAGGAAUAAAGCGAGGCACGUGUGCCUUUUUGCAUGUACUUUAUGAAUAAGGAUCGGCUAACUCCGUGCCAGCAUCCGCGGUAAUACGGAGGAUCCGAGCGUUAUCCGGAUUUAUUGGGUUUAAAGGGAGCGUAGAUGGGUUGUUAAGUCAGUUGUGAAAGUUUGCGGCUCAACCGUAAAAUUGCAAUUGAUACUGGCAGCCUUGAGGACAGUUGAGGUAGGCGGAAUUCGUGGUGUAGCGGUGAAAUGCUUAGAUAUCACGAAGAACCCCGAUUGCGAAGGCAGCUUACUAAACUGUGACUGACAUUGAUGUUCGAAAGUGUGGGUAUCAAACAGGAUUAGAUACCCGAGUAGUC